UUAUGUUAUUACUGUAGAGCUCCCUAUCAUAAUAAUAAACUUAAUUAUUCAUUUAAGAAAAGGUUCAACAUGAAAUAAGAUGUGUCAACUGUUAACUAACAAGUUAACUAACAAGACUAUAGAAUAUCAACAAAUGGCCAAGCAAUGUUUAAGAAAUUUAUAAUUAGAUGAAGCAAAUCCUUUGUCUGUUCACAGUGGUGAAACUAUGUUCUACAAAAAGCUUCUCUGGGACAUGAUUUAUGCAUUAUGAUGUCCAUAAUUGUGCAUUAUGCCGUUAUCUUAAGGAAAUAAAAAAAUCACAAUAGGUCAAUGUAAUCUAGUUCUAAGAUGUUUAUUAAUGCCAUUAUCUAUACCAACCAACAAAGGUUAUGUGUCCAAUUUUCAAUUUCAAUCACAACAGUUGCCACUGAGAACAUUUUAAGUUCAAUGAGGGGGUUGCAAACCAAAGAUAUUCCAUACCAGAAAAUCAUAUUCUCAUAGAACAUUUUAACCCCAUGAACUUGGCAAGGACAAUAGGAUUUUAACACACUACAAGGUCUUUACCAUUAUAUAUCAUCUCUCUAAGUGAAGAUGCCAUUCAACUCAUGACUUUGAACUGGAGAUGGAAAUUUUUACAAAGACAAAGUAAAUCACUACUUCCUGCAGAACUCUGCAACUGUUCUUUCAUGCAACCAAAAGCCAACUAGAAAUAUACUAGAUGUGGGUUAGAUCCGUGCACAACAACAUGAUCAGAUGUUUUAAUUCUUUCACAGCUCAUUGGUCUGUGCAUGGACUCCACUUUUUCAUUUUAAAAACUGUGGAUGAAAAUCGCCAAGAUCUGCAUUUAGGGCCAGCCAUUGUCCUGUUCCAGUUCUAGGACCAGGGGGCAGGAACUGGACUGAAG
RNAcentral lists this unclassified non-coding RNA (883 nucleotides) under Hevea brasiliensis (rubber tree). Lineage: Eukaryota; Viridiplantae; Streptophyta; Magnoliopsida; Malpighiales; Euphorbiaceae. The record is from RNAcentral.